CCAGGUGAUGGCACCCAGAAGAUGUUCCCACCUGUGUAACUUGCGUUCUGCCCUCAGCAGAGUGAGCUGGUAAACUCCUUGAGGUCAUGACGAGCCAGACUGGGUGGACAUGAUGAUGUCAGAGCUAAGGAGGGACCUCACCUCCUCCUUAAAGAGGGCCCUAGGCCACCUCACUGCAGAAGUGGAGCUCCGACUAACCCGAGGAAGACAUAGCUGAAACCAGGGUGGACCAGCUACCCUGAAGCCUCAGCACUGAUGCAUAUUUAUCAGAUCAGCACUGGCAGCUCCAGCUCUAUUUCCUGAAUUCACACGGUGAGGACCAAUCCUCUACAGAGACUAAGUGGGUGACCUGGGAGGACUUGACAGUAUCCCUGAAUACCAGCUACCCUAAAAACAUUUCCCACCAAUCCACCUCAGCACCCAUCUGGUCUUUGAGUUAAAGCCUUGGCUUCCGAAAUAUGAUGUUCAGUAACUGACAUUUGUGUGAUUAUUCUCAGUUUACAAAGCACUUCCAUGUACAUUACUCACCUAGGUAUCAGCUAGGUAGGUGGUAGUGAUACUAACCCCAGUUCUCAGGCUAGGAAGUGAAAGCUCAGAAGGAUUAAGUAACUUCCACAAAUCAUAUGGCUACUACUUGGGUCAGGAUUUGAACC
Molecule: long non-coding RNA, 653 nt
Organism: Gorilla gorilla gorilla (western lowland gorilla)
Lineage: Eukaryota; Metazoa; Chordata; Mammalia; Primates; Hominidae
Exons: 3
Source: RefSeq, a predicted model, not a curated record